UCGUUGUAGCAAUACGAUGGAAAGUCUAGUGGCGAACGGGUGCUUAACACGUGGGCAACCUGCCAGGAAGUGGGGGAUAGCUCGCCGAAAGGCGAAUUAAUACCGCAUGUGAUUAGAGAGGACAUCCUUUCGAAAUUAAAGUCGGGGCAACCUGACGCUUCUUGUGGGGCCCGCGGCCUAUCAGCUAGUUGGUGGGGUAAAGGCUCACCAAGGCUUUGACGGGUAGCUGGUCUGAGAGGACGACCAGCCACACUGGGACUGAGACAUGGCCCAGACACCUACGGGUGGCAGCAGUCGAGAAUUUUUGACAAUGGGGGAAACCCUGAUCGAGCGACGCCGCGUGGAGGAUGAAGGUCUUCGGAUUGUAAACUCCUGUCAUUGGGGAACAAGGUGCAUACGUUAACUGCGUGCGCAUUGAUAGUACCCGAAGAGGAAGAGACGGCUAACUCUGUACCAGCAGCCGCGGUAAUACAGAGGUCUCAAGCGUUGUUCGGAUUCAUUGGGCGUAAAGGGUGCGUAGGCGGCGCGGUAAGUCGGGUGUGAAAUCUCGGAGCUUAACUCCGAAACUGCAUUCGAUACUGCCGUGCUUGAGGACUGGAGGGGAGACUGGAAUUCUCGGUGUAGCA
RNAcentral lists this ribosomal RNA (626 nucleotides) under uncultured Verrucomicrobiota bacterium. RNAcentral describes it as "bacterial SSU rRNA". It matches the Rfam family "Bacterial small subunit ribosomal RNA", at positions 71 to 680 of the family's 1533-position model. The record is from RNAcentral. Lineage: Bacteria; Pseudomonadati; Verrucomicrobiota.